This 1535-nucleotide ribosomal RNA is filed under the name Faecalibacterium prausnitzii. Its description in RNAcentral is "bacterial SSU rRNA". It matches the Rfam family "Bacterial small subunit ribosomal RNA". Lineage: Bacteria; Bacillati; Bacillota; Clostridia; Eubacteriales; Oscillospiraceae. The record is from RNAcentral.
CAAUUUAAACAACGAAGAGUUUGAUCCUGGCUCAGGAUGAACGCUAGCGACAGGCUUAACACAUGCAAGUCGAGGGGCAGCACAGGUAGCAAUACCGGGUGGCGACCGGCGCACGGGUGAGUAACGCGUAUGCAACUUACCUAUCAGAGGGGGAUAACCCGGCGAAAGUCGGACUAAUACCGCAUGAAGCAGGGGCCCCGCAUGGGGAUAUUUGCUAAAGAUUCAUCGCUGAUAGAUAGGCAUGCGUUCCAUUAGGCAGUUGGCGGGGUAACGGCCCACCAAACCGACGAUGGAUAGGGGUUCUGAGAGGAAGGUCCCCCACAUUGGUACUGAGACACGGACCAAACUCCUACGGGAGGCAGCAGUGAGGAAUAUUGGUCAAUGGGCGUAAGCCUGAACCAGCCAAGUCGCGUGAGGGAUGAAGGUUCUAUGGAUCGUAAACCUCUUUUAUAAGGGAAUAAAGUGCGGGACGUGUCCCGUUUUGUAUGUACCUUAUGAAUAAGGAUCGGCUAACUCCGUGCCAGCAGCCGCGGUAAUACGGAGGAUCCGAGCGUUAUCCGGAUUUAUUGGGUUUAAAGGGUGCGUAGGCGGCCUUUUAAGUCAGCGGUGAAAGUCUGUGGCUCAACCAUAGAAUUGCCGUUGAAACUGGGAGGCUUGAGUAUGUUUGAGGCAGGCGGAAUGCGUGGUGUAGCGGUGAAAUGCUUAGAUAUCACGCAGAACCCCGAUUGCGAAGGCAGCCUGCCAAGCCAUGACUGACGCUGAUGCACGAAAGCGUGGGGAUCAAACAGGAUUAGAUACCCUGGUAGUCCACGCAGUAAACGAUGAUCACUAGCUGUUUGCGAUACAGUGUAAGCGGCACAGCGAAAGCGUUAAGUGAUCCACCUGGGGAGUACGCCGGCAACGGUGAAACUCAAAGGAAUUGACGGGGGCCCGCACAAGCGGAGGAACAUGUGGUUUAAUUCGAUGAUACGCGAGGAACCUUACCCGGGUUUGAACGCAUUCGGACCGAGGUGGAAACACCUUUUCUAGCAAUAGCCGUUUGCGAGGUGCUGCAUGGUUGUCGUCAGCUCGUGCCGUGAGGUGUCGGCUUAAGUGCCAUAACGAGCGCAACCCUUGCCACUAGUUACUAACAGGUAAAGCUGAGGACUCUGGUGGGACUGCCAGCGUAAGCUGCGAGGAAGGCGGGGAUGACGUCAAAUCAGCACGGCCCUUACAUCCGGGGCGACACACGUGUUACAAUGGCGUGGACAAAGGGAAGCCACCUGGCGACAGGGAGCGAAUCCCCAAACCACGUCUCAGUUCGGAUCGGAGUCUGCAACCCGACUCCGUGAAGCUGGAUUCGCUAGUAAUCGCGCAUCAGCCAUGGCGCGGUGAAUACGUUCCCGGGCCUUGUACACACCGCCCGUCAAGCCAUGGGAGCCGGGGGUACCUGAAGUCCGUAACCGCGAGGAUCGGCCUAGGGUAAAACUGGUGACUGGGGCUAAGUCGUAACAAGGUAGCCGUACCGGAAGGUGCGGCUGGAACACCUCCUUUCU